CCCGCACAAGCGGAGGAACAUGUGGUUUAAUUCGAUGAUACGCGAGGAACCUUACCUGGGCUUAAAUGCAGAGUGCAUGGAGUGGAAACACUUUCUUCCCUUUCGGGGCUCUUUGCAAGGUGCUGCAUGGUUGUCGUCAGCUCGUGCCGUGAGGUGUCGGGUUAAGUCCCAUAACGAGCGCAACCCUUAUCGUUAGUUGCCAGCGGGUAAAGCCGGGAACUCUAGCGAAACUGCCGGUGUAAACCGAGAGGAAGGUGGGGAUGACGUCAAAUCAGCACGGCCCUUAUGUCCAGGGCUACACACGUGUUACAAUGGCCGGUACAGAGGGCAGCUACCUGGAGACAGGAUGCGAAUCUCGAAAGCCGGUCUCAGUUCGGAUCGGAGUCUGCAACUCGACUCCGUGAAGCCGGAAUCGCUAGUAAUCGCGGAUCAGCAUGCCGCGGUGAAUACGUUCCCGGGCCUU
Molecule: ribosomal RNA, 463 nt
Filed under: uncultured Sphingobacteriales bacterium
Lineage: Bacteria; Pseudomonadati; Bacteroidota; Sphingobacteriia; Sphingobacteriales
Description: bacterial SSU rRNA
Rfam family: Bacterial small subunit ribosomal RNA
Source: RNAcentral